Molecule: RNA transcript, 2360 nt
Organism: Cheilinus undulatus (humphead wrasse)
Lineage: Eukaryota; Metazoa; Chordata; Actinopteri; Labriformes; Labridae
Gene: srsf7a
Gene name: serine and arginine rich splicing factor 7a
Exons: 9
Source: RefSeq, a predicted model, not a curated record
GCAGAUGCGGAAGUAAAGCGGAUCGCUCGUGAGAUUGGAGUCCGUUGCUGGUGGUCAACCCGGUCAACCUCUUCGAGAGACAUGUGGAGGCUUCGUGGAUGCUCAAGUGUGGCUGUUUAAUGGUUUAUUCUACAAUAAAUAAUCAGUAGGCAGUUAAAUAUCUAAUCAGACGUCUGUCGGUGAAUAUUGCAUCUCCUCUCCGCCCGGAGCUCAUCCAGAAAUCAUCGGAGCAGCGGAAGAAGGUAAGGAAGGAUGUCAUCCUACUAUUCAUCGUCCCGUAGCUCAUCCCGGGCCACUGACUGUAAAGUGUACGUGGGUGACUUGGGCAACGGUGCUGCCAAGGGAGAGCUGGAGCGAGCAUUCAGUUAUUAUGGCCCGCUGAGGAGCGUGUGGGUGGCACGAAACCCACCUGGCUUUGCUUUUGUUGAGUUUGAGGACCCCAGAGAUGCAGAAGAUGCUGUGAAAGGAAUGGAUGGAAAGGUUCUCUGUGGUUCUCGUGUUCGAGUGGAAAUGUCAACAGGCCUCUCCAGGAAGGGCCGUGGGCGCCCUAGCCGACGCCAGUUUGACCCUAAUGAUAGGUGUUAUCAGUGUGGGGACAGGGGCCACUAUGCCUAUGACUGCUACCGCUUUAGCAAGCGAGGAGGAGGCCGUCGCAGCAGGUCCCGCUCUCGUUCUAGGUCCCGGUCCAGGUCCAGGUCCCGUGGACGCCGUUACCGCUCUCGAUCCCGCAGCCGCAGCUACAGCAGGAGCCGUCGUCGAUCUCCAUCCUACUCAAGGCGCAGGAGCAGGUCUGGCUCCCAAGCCCGUUCUAAGUCCAGGACUCCGGUUAGAAGUCGCUCCAGAUCUAGAUCUCGUUCUGGCUCUGCACCCAGAGGACGCUCUGUCUCUCGGUCUCGCUCCCGCUCUCCAUCAGCUAACAACAAGAGGAACAGCGUGUGGUGGGAGCUGCGCACUGCACUGACACCACAGCUGAUCCCAGGCCCAGGGUCUGCCAGCUGGCGGUGUGUACGUCCUGCGGGAGGGUGACAUAGCGCUGACCUGAGAUCAGCCUUCGUCUGCAUCUGGUGUUAGACAGCGAGAAAGAGGUCGACCUACAGACCGAACCCUCCUCACAGUGAAAGGGUGACCGUCUGUUCAACCGACGCACACGCUCAGAUGAGAUCAGCCCGCGCACACAUACAGUUGUUCUACUAGAGUCACCCAGACAGCCUUCAGAUCUACCAGAGGGCUGACCCACACAGAUCAGAGUUCGACCACUACCUUUUAAAAUCCAAAAUCUACCUACCAGACCCCCGUAUCUACCUACCAGAGUUCUUCAGCCUCUGUCUUAGCUUCUGAAAGUGAGAGAAAGAGCUGACGAGAGAUCAGUCUUCAAGAGGCUCCCAGCGCAGUGUCUCUACAAGUUGUAGUCAUCCGUCCUUCAGUCCUUUCAUCCUUCGCUUCUCUGUACUUGUUGUUUCUGCCACUGUCUGCAAAGUCGUUCCCGUUCAGCAAGUCCAAACCGAAGCCCUACUCCAGCAGAAGACUGAGUGCGGAAGACAAUAAGUCCCACCUAAUGCUCCCCUAAUCAGACAGACCCUCACCCCUUCUCUAUGUCUGCUUUUACAGCCUAAUAGCAGCUAUUUUUUGUACUUGUUCAUCUCCCCUCGUUACGUUUAAGUUAAUUUUUGCUGAGGAUUAGUUCCCCCUCCCCCUGGACUGUGGAAGUAUGGCCUCAGAUUGCUGAAGAUUUGGUCAGUAUGGGCAAAUAAAGAUGCGUUUCUAUUUGAUUGUUUUAAAUGUUGUUGCUGUUUAGAUUAUCUUACUUCUUAUGAGUCAUGUACGUAGUUUAAAAAUCACCACCUUUGUUAAGGUAAGACUGAAUGUUGCAGAGGACUUUUAACAGUAAUUUGGGAAGUUCUAUAGGAAGGCUGCUCUGUUCAUACCAUGUCUAAAGGUGAGGAUAGUGCAUUUAAACUACUUUUAUUCCCUAAGCUUCAAUUUCUGAACCUUAGUUUUCCCCACUGCAGAAAGGUAACAUUGUGUUUUUGUAAUGCUGUCCUUGUUUGAUUUCUUUGAGCUGUCAUAUGAUGGAAGAUGACAGUUGCAGGUCUGCAUGCCUUUAAAUAUGAUGUCACAUUCCUACUGUUUAUUCUGUCUGUGCUGAUCUUCCCUUUCACAAACCUUAUGAACUUCACUGUAUGCUGAAAAGGUUUGCCAUUGGUGUGGAUCCCCCCGUUUGUUUCUGUGAAUUCUGAUUUUAAAAUGGAUACAGUGCUUCAGUUUGAUUUCUUUAAGGGCUGCUUUACAGUUUUGUUCUGUUCCCGGCUCAUAUGGUUAGACAGUGGCAAUUUUAUUUUUAAAUAAACCUUGUCAGACAA